GACGAACGCUGGCGGCGUGCUUAACACAUGCAAGUCGAGCGGUAAGGCCCUUUCGGGGGUACACGAGCGGCGAACGGGUGAGUAACACGUGGGUGACCUGCCCUUAGCUCUGGGAUAAGCCUGGGAAACUGGGCCUAAUACCGGAUAUGACUCCAUGACGCAUGUUGUGGGGUGGAAAGCCUUGUGCGGCUAGGGAUGGGCCCGCGGCCUAUCAGCUUGUUGGUGGGGUGAUGGCCACCAAGGCGACGACGGGUAGCCGGCCUGAGAGGGCGACCGGCCACACUGGGACUGAGACACGGCCCAGACUCCUACGGGAGGCAGCAGUGGGGAAUCUUGCGCAAUGGGCGAAAGCCUGACGCAGCGACGCCGCGUGGGGGU
Molecule: ribosomal RNA, 378 nt
Filed under: uncultured bacterium
Lineage: Bacteria
Description: bacterial SSU rRNA
Rfam family: Bacterial small subunit ribosomal RNA
Source: RNAcentral